GAAACUGCUUUGAUGGAGAAGAGUACGCAGUGCCUCCGCACAGGGAGAGGACGCCAUGGAUUGAGAGCGUCCUUAUGGAACAGGCUGCCGAAGUUCGCUCCGGAGCAUGCGCUUGAACGGCCGGAUAUUGUUCCGCGUCAGUAGGGCUGCACGGUUCCCGCCGUUAACGGGACUAGAGCAAUCACGAACAGCGGUUUUGUACGCAACGUGGUUGGAAUUAGGGUGGUACCACGGUUCUUCCGUCCCUUCG
This 250-nucleotide non-coding RNA is filed under the name Paenibacillus sp. RNAcentral describes it as "T-box sequence". It matches the Rfam family "T-box leader". Rfam says of the family: Uncharged tRNA acts as the effector for transcription antitermination of genes in the T-box leader family. T-boxes are found upstream of many aminoacyl-tRNA synthetase genes and some amino acid biosynthetic genes usually in Gram-positive bacteria. The anticodon of a specific tRNA base pairs to a specifier sequence within the T-box motif, and the NCCA acceptor tail of the tRNA base pairs to a conserved bulge in the T-box antiterminator hairpin. The record is from RNAcentral. Lineage: Bacteria; Bacillati; Bacillota; Bacilli; Caryophanales; Paenibacillaceae.